CUACGUGCCAGCAGCCGCGGUAAUACGGAGGAUGCGAGCGUUAUUCGGAAUCAUUGGGUUUAAAGGGUCUGUAGGCGGGCUAUUAAGUCAGGGGUGAAAGGUUUCAGCUUAACUGAGAAAUUGCCUUUGAUACUGGUAGUCUUGAAUAUCUGUGAAGUUCUUGGAAUGUGUAGUGUAGCGGUGAAAUGCUUAGAUAUUACACAGAACACCGAUUGCGGAGGCAGGGGACUAACAGAUGAUUGACGCUGAGAGACGAAAGCGUGGGGAGCGAACAGGAUUAGAUACCCUGGUAGUCCACGCUGUAAACGAUGGAUACUAGCUGUUUGGCGUAAGCUGAGUGGCUAAGCGAAAGUGAUAAGUAUCCCACCUGGGGAGUACGCACGCAAGUGUGAAACUCAAAGGAAUUGACGGGGGCCCGCACAAGCGGAGGAACAUGUGGUUUAAUUCGAUGAUACGCGAGGAACCUUACCCGGGCUUGAA
RNAcentral lists this ribosomal RNA (480 nucleotides) under uncultured bacterium. RNAcentral describes it as "bacterial SSU rRNA". It matches the Rfam family "Bacterial small subunit ribosomal RNA", at positions 501 to 985 of the family's 1533-position model. The record is from RNAcentral.